AUUGAACGCUGGCGGCAGGCCUAACACAUGCAAGUCGAGCGGUUGAAGGGAGCUUGCUCCUGGAUUCAGCGGCGGACGGGUGAGUAAUGCCUAGGAAUCUGCCUGGUAGUGGGGGAUAACGUCCGGAAACGGGCGCUAAUACCGCAUACGUCCUGAGGGAGAAAGUGGGGGAUCUUCGGACCUCACGCUAUCAGAUGAGCCUAGGUCGGAUUAGCUAGUUGGUGGGGUAAAGGCCUACCAAGGCGACGAUCCGUAACUGGUCUGAGAGGAUGAUCAGUCACACUGGAACUGAGACACGGUCCAGACUCCUACGGGAGGCAGCAGUGGGGAAGAUUGGACAAUGGGCGAAAGCCUGAUCCAGCCAUGCCGCGUGUGUGAAGAUGGUCUUCGUAUUGUAGAGCACUUUAAGUUGGGAGGAAGGGCAGUAAGUUAAUACCUUGCUGUGUUGACGUUACCAACAGAAUAAGCACCGGCUAACUUCGUG
RNAcentral lists this ribosomal RNA (484 nucleotides) under uncultured bacterium. Its description in RNAcentral is "partial 16S ribosomal RNA". It matches the Rfam family "Bacterial small subunit ribosomal RNA", at positions 30 to 507 of the family's 1533-position model. The record is from RNAcentral.